GCGGGCGUGGCGGAAUUGGUAGACGCGCCGGCCUUAGGAGCCGGUGGCCCUGAGCCGUGGGGGUUCGAGUCCCUCCGCCCGCA
This 83-nucleotide transfer RNA is filed under the name Acidobacteriota bacterium. Its description in RNAcentral is "Acidobacteria bacterium (mine drainage metagenome) tRNA-Leu". It matches the Rfam family "tRNA". Rfam says of the family: Transfer RNA (tRNA) molecules are approximately 80 nucleotides in length. Their secondary structure includes four short double-helical elements and three loops (D, anti-codon, and T loops). The record is from RNAcentral. Lineage: Bacteria; Pseudomonadati; Acidobacteriota. RNAcentral also lists the same sequence under 1 other name.